This 253-nucleotide ribosomal RNA is filed under the name uncultured bacterium. Its description in RNAcentral is "partial 16S ribosomal RNA". It matches the Rfam family "Bacterial small subunit ribosomal RNA", at positions 524 to 776 of the family's 1533-position model. The record is from RNAcentral.
UACAGAGGGUGCGAGCGUUGUCCGGAAUUACUGGGCGUAAAGCGUGCGCAGGCGGUUCUCCAAGUCAGUGGUGAAAGCCCGGAGCUCAACUCCGGAACUGCCAUUGAAACUGUAGAGCUAGAGUACGAGAGAGGUGAGUGGAAUUCCCAGUGUAGAGGUGAAAUUCGUAGAUAUCGGGAGGAACACCGGUGGCGAAGGCGGCGAUCUGGGUCGAUACUGACGCUGAGGUGCGAAAGCGUGGGGAGCAAACAGG